This is a long non-coding RNA of Oncorhynchus tshawytscha (Chinook salmon), 1189 nucleotides long. RefSeq lists it as uncharacterized. The transcript is spliced from 3 exons. NCBI's taxonomy places the organism in Eukaryota, Metazoa, Chordata, Actinopteri, Salmoniformes, Salmonidae. The record is from RefSeq and is a predicted model, not a curated record.
UACUACAGAUAUACAACAACAAAAAACACAUGUAAUGCUAGCGAUAAGUACAGUACAACAUUAACCAUGCUCACAGCUGAUGCCAGUGCUGUGCUGUCUUGACUGUUGUGGUCUGUUUUUGUAAUGGAAAAUCAAAUUUACCAAUAAGAGUCAGUCAAUUCGAAUCAAUCAAGCAAGCAAUAUAUCAAAGCAUCAGUGACUGGCAGGUGGCAGCGUGGUAGGAAGAGCUUGUCCCAUGAAUUCAUCACAAAAAUUGAGGAUUAGCUGAUAACUAUGAAACAAACAUUCUGGAUAAUAUAGAGAAUCUGGAGCUACUUAUUGAUCAGCAUUUUGAUAUGCUCGAAAAAGAAGCGAACAAGAGAAGACCUUUAAUCGAGUUCUGCGAGCGAAACUGAAGAGAAGCCGUCUAAAAUUCCAAAUGUAACAUUGGAGGGGGACGUUUUUAUAACUAUGUCUCCAGAAGAUGGAGCAUUGCUUACAAGUAUGAGCAAGCAGUUAAAAAAACUGGAUCUAUUGCAUGGGCUACUGCGGGAGGUUGAGGCCUUAAAAACAGGAAUGGAUUACAGUAAUAAAAUGCUGGAAGAAAUACGAGCGGAUAAUAAGAUAUUGAAAACUACCGUGGACUCCCUAAAAGACACUACAGAGAGGCUCUGGUAUGAUAAAACAAUGAAAGUCGAAUUACUUGAUCUAAAGUGCAGAAGUAUGAAAAAUAAUAUUGUUCUAAUUGUUAUAAUGGGCAUAAAGGGAAAAAGUCAAGGUGUUCAUGAAAAUUAAUCUCAAGAUGACGGACGAACAGGUGGAAACAAUUGAUUUUCAAACGGGCUCACCGUUUCGGUGGCAGAGCAGAGGGAAGGCCCCGUCCGAUCGUAGCUAUGCUAACCCACUACAACAUGAAAAUUGCCUAGUUACAACAGGGUAGGGGAGAACAUCCCAUUCUCUAUUAAUGAACAAUUUCCUCAUGAAAUAGUGGCGAGACGACGUGCCCUGUACCCCACUUUCAAAAGGCUCCGAGCAGAGAAGCAGAAUGUUCGUCUAGUGGUCGAUAAAUAUGUCAACAACCAAAUGUUCAAGGACUAAAAGAUUACAACGUGGCUGCAAUAUGGAACUUUGGACGUAGUAUCAGGUUUUGAUUCAGGGGAAGGCGAAGAUGGGUGUGAUGUACCGAUCCUGUGCAGGUGUUGUUGCACGU